AAUGACUAUGGGUAACACAGCUGGAAAUGUAUCCACGGACACUUACUAGGGUUCUGGAUCUUCACUGUAGAAUCGGGUUCUGGGUGAGGCUUGUGCACCACCUGAGUGCAAACCUGUUCUGUUAAGAUCUACAGAAACACAGGUGCAGUACUCACCCAGGCCUUUAGGGGUAAUACCGCUACUCUCUAGUGGAUUGCUGGCCCAGUAGUAGUAUUUGAGAGUGUGCAUGAGCUGCAGGACUGUGCCCACUCUACGAAUGGUGCUGUAGAUGGUGGCAGUGCCAAUGAAUUCAGCCGACAGGGCUAAAGUUGCUGAGGGUGACUCGUUUUUCUGCACGGACUGGUGAGGGAACAAAAACGGACGUCCGUUUCUCCCGCAGUCAUGUUUCUCAGGUCAUUAUCCAAUCAUUGAGACUUGAGCUUUUGCAGAGUGAGGUUACAUACUCCUCAAGCCCCGUACACACAUGCAGCGACUUCCAGCGACAAAGCGACCUCAUCUCAUUCACUGUCAAUGAGAGCUGGCUACUUCCGGUGACACGAGCGACAACAAACCUCUGGCAACUAGAUGUGGCCGUGGCGAGCGACACAACAAAGUUGAAAAAAGUUUAACUUUAUGCAAACGUUGAGCGACUAUCGGGGGCGACAACCAAUAGGAGUGAAGACGGUGUUGGUGGACCUCAUAUCAUCCAUCUCCUUUGAGAUAAUGGAGUCGAGUGCAGGCAAGACAGAGAAGUUUCUGUGAGCGAUUUCACUGUUCUAUGUGAUUCGUCUGUAACCACAUACAUGGAUAUAAUAAAAAAUGAUGCGUGGAAAAGAAACAGUCAGCAGUCUGAGUGAGUUUGAUUCGUACA
Myxocyprinus asiaticus (Chinese sucker) is the source of this 850-nucleotide long non-coding RNA. RefSeq lists it as uncharacterized. The record is from RefSeq and is a predicted model, not a curated record. The transcript has 4 exons. Lineage: Eukaryota; Metazoa; Chordata; Actinopteri; Cypriniformes; Catostomidae.